RNAcentral lists this ribosomal RNA (484 nucleotides) under uncultured bacterium. RNAcentral describes it as "partial 16S ribosomal RNA". It matches the Rfam family "Bacterial small subunit ribosomal RNA", at positions 29 to 507 of the family's 1533-position model. The record is from RNAcentral.
AUUGAACGCUGGCGGCAUGCUUUACACAUGCAAGUCGAACGGCAGCGCGGGCUUCGGCCUGGCGGCGAGUGGCGAACGGGUGAGUAAUGCAUCGGAACGUGCCCAGUAGUGGGGGAUAGCCCGGCGAAAGCCGGAUUAAUACCGCAUACGACCUGAGGGUGAAAGCGGGGGACCGAAAGGCCUCGCGCUAUUGGAGCGGCCGAUGUCGGAUUAGCUAGUUGGUGGGGUAAAGGCUUACCAAGGCGACGAUCCGUAGCUGGUCUGAGAGGACGACCAGCCACACUGGGACUGAGACACGGCCCAGACUCCUACGAGAGGCAGCAGUGGGGAAUUUUGGACAAUGGGGGCAACCCUGAUCCAGCCAUGCCGCGUGCGGGAAGAAGGCCUUCGGGUUGUAAACCGCUUUUGCUCGGGAAGAAAUCCUCUGGGCUAAUACCCCGGGGGGAUGACGGUACCGGAAGAAUAAGCACCGGCUAACUACGUG